UCCCAGCAGGACUGAGCCUCAAUUGCCCACAGCAGGAAGCAGCUCAAUCAUGUACCCUUUAAUUGGCUCUCUCUGGAUCUGGGAUGCACUCCUGCUCCCUGGGAUCACUCCUCAAAAUAAACCAUCCGCUUGCUGUGGCAACCGGAAAGGCAAAGCCCCUGCUUUAAAGGAACGAGAGAUUUAAAUCUAGAGCUAGAGAGCGGCUCUAGACAACGGACAGCUGAAAAGAACAAACACAAUAAUAACAUCAUUUUGAUAGUUAGCAGGGCCUUGGAAAAAUUAAACGUGGUCAAGUGGUAGAGCAUGACGGGUAAAAUUGCAUUUAGUGGUUCACAGGUCUCAACAUACAACAGAACCACUUGGAGGGCUUGAAAACACAGAGGCACCUGGGCCCCACACCAGAUUUCCUUAAUUAGCGGACCUGAGUGGGGGCCUCAGAAGCUACUUGUUAGUCUCAGGUGAUGCCGAUGCUGGUGGUCUGGGGACUACGAAUUGAAAACCACUAGAUUAUUUAGAGCUGAAGCAUGAAAAGGAGCCAAGAGUACAAGGAACACAGAGAAGAGAAUCCAGGCAAAGACAUGAUAAACAGAACAAAGAUUUUAGAAGGAGAAGGAUUCGACUGGCUCAGCCUUAAGUGCAGCGAGGAAUACCUCAUCAUCUGAUGCUCAGCAAAAUUACUCAUGGGGAGAAAUACCAGUUCUACAAAAGCACCAAGGAGAAAAAGAGUGUCAUUGAACUUGUUCCUCUCUUCCUGUGUUUUUUAUAAACCAAGAUUUGGAACGAAUGCCUGGAUGAGCUGUGGGUUAAAAGGUUUCAGCAAUCACAUUCCAGAGGUUGAAAUAUACAAUGAGAGCACUUGAAAAGUUGCAGCCAAGGAGAGAGAGGAGAAUGUGGUUACCUUCAUUGAAACAGAUCUCUCAGCAUUUUAAAUAAUUCAGUAUUUUUUGCUCUACGAACAGUGAUGUUUUUCAACAAUAUCAACUACUAAUUAAGAAGAAUCUUAUAAAACAAAAAUAUCAAAUAUUUUAUUACAAUGAUAAGGUGAAUAUAUUGAUCCUCCUGGAAGAAUCAUUCACUGGCGGUAGAACUGAGUCCAAUUUUAAGUUCUACAGGGGAACUGGUUUCGGUUUAAAUUAAUAAAGAAUUUGAAAUAGACUUUUCCAAGGAUGGAAAGCAUUGCUCUGGAAGAUAAUGAAUCUCAGACAUGGAAGACAUCCUGGCUAGGCUACAUAAUCAUUGGGCAGAGACUUUUGUCAUGAGGAUUCAAACCAUCAACUACAUGGACCCUAGGAGUAUACGAUCCUAUAACAAGUUGAGUGAUCCAUCCAAUUUGCUGGUUUAUUAAGAUGCUUUUCAUUGCUGCGAAGGUUCUAAAUUACUGCUGAGGCAUCAAUGGUAAUUUUCAGUAUACAGAACUCAAACCCUCAGCAUCUCUAAUUCCAUCAACCUCUAUGCACUCAACUGCAUCUAAUAGUAUCAAAAACUUAGCCCAUCUUCAAACUGCUGACUUUUUCAAACUGCUCAAUUCCAAUUCGAUGCCAGUUUUAUUAAAGGAAGAGGUCAUUAAAAAAUAUAUUUAUUUUGGGGCUGGCCCAGUGGUGCAGCGGUUAAGUGCUCAUGUUCCACUUUGGCAGCCCGGGGUUUGCCGGUUUGGAUGCUGGGUGCAGACAUGGCACCGCUUGGCACACCAUGCUGUGGUAGGCAUCCCACAUAUAAAGUAGAGGAUGAUGGGCAUGGAUGUUAGCUCAGGGCCAGUCUUCCUCAGUGAAAAGAGGAAGAUUGGCAGCAGUUAGCUCAGGGCUAAUCUUCCUCAAAAGAAAAAAUAUAUAUAUAUAUAUAUAUUUAUUUCAUAACGAGCUUUUCUCUUCCUGUUUUGGAACACUAAGAGGUAGUAGUGAUCCUUCCAGUAAUUAAUUGCAGGCAGCCCUUCAAGUCAAGUUGCCUGCAUUUGAUUACUGGCUUCACCACCUACUAGCUGUGGUGACAUAGGAAAAUAAAUUUACUUGCCCUGUCUAUGCUUUCGUUUCUUUUUCUGGAAAAUGGGGGUGAUAGUUGUAAUCCACUUAUAGGGUUUUGAGUGAUUUAAAUUGUUAAUGCUUGCAGAGUGCUUAGACCAGUGACUGACAUUUGUUUUCACUUAAUAAGAGAUAACUGUUAUUUUCAGAAUUUAGAUCAGUAUUUUGCAAGCAGAAAUUAGAGGCCUUCUCUAUUCGCUUAGAAUUCCUGCUGAGAAGUUACAAAUCCCCUUUUUGUUUUGCUUGACUUUUCUGUCACAACACUUCUGGGUUUUCUUCUUGUUUUUAUCUUAAAGACAUCCCGAAUAGAAACUUGACUAGCCCCAAUCAUUCUUAGAUCAUUUGCUUAAACUUUAAGAAGCAUUGUAAUUUGUUUUCAUUUAUUUUCAUCAAGCAAUCAAAACGUUCUCUUUACAUUUCUCUGCUCCUAUCUCUCAUAUUCUGUAUCUCUUUCUUCCCCAUCCAAAUCCCCUAUGAUGCUCACCUUUUCUGUCUGCCAGACUCCAGAAGGAAGGAUGGGACAUCUUGUCACCAAUUCUUAGAGAGCAGAAAUCACAGGGUCAGCUAGGUCCUUUCCAAUUAACACUCCAAAUUACAUUUGUGAGGUGUGAGCUUUAGUGGUGUGUUCUCUGCUGUCAGACCGGGUGAAAAAAAUUCCAUCAAAAAUAGCCUGCAGAGAGCCACAUGACCUUGGGUAUCAUUGAAGAUGUAAAUGCUUUUUAAGAUGUUUAGAAAGAGAUGACAAAAUGCUUCUCUGACUAGUGCUGAAACGAGCAAAUCAUAAUUUUAUUU
This 2807-nucleotide long non-coding RNA is filed under the name Equus caballus (horse). Its description in RNAcentral is "lncRNA (ENSECAG00000053164.1)". The record is from RNAcentral. Lineage: Eukaryota; Metazoa; Chordata; Mammalia; Perissodactyla; Equidae.